Microcebus murinus (gray mouse lemur) is the source of this 1202-nucleotide non-coding RNA. NCBI's taxonomy places the organism in Eukaryota, Metazoa, Chordata, Mammalia, Primates, Cheirogaleidae. The record is from RefSeq and is a predicted model, not a curated record.
ACAGAGAGCCGAAGAAGCGUGUUGGCGACGCCAUCUACCCCUGCAAUCUGCUGGGAGAGGCUGUGCGUGCUGUGCAGAGCCGAGAGGAAGUCAAGGGGGACCUCUGAGUGGUGCCCCACACGAAACCUCACACGAAAGGAACGAAGCCCACGGGUCAGACGGGGAAGAUGUGCCAGGCAAUUCCCCCGGGAGUCCCCGUUCAAUCUCACAGCGACCCUAUGAGGAGCAUCCAGAUGCACCUGGAUGGGACCUGAAGGUUUUCUCACGUUCGGGAACAUCGUCCUUUUGCGAGUGGGUGAAGCCAGGAUUGGAAGCCUCUGCCCUUGCUUAGGACCUUGCCUUUUGGACCCCACAUCCGCCGACGCGUCCUUGAGUCAAGGUCGAGCUUGUCUUGCUGCGGUGCCUGGUCCCCGACUCUGGGGCAGGGGCUGCUGACACGCACGCCCCGCAGCUAGGGGCCGCUCUCCGAGCCCCCCCACCCCGCCCCCCGCAGCAGCCGGUAUUUUGCAGUCAGUCCCUGCAGCUUCCCCGCGGUCAGCUGAGCAGAAGGGAAGAGGCGCUACAUUCUGCCUUCUGCCUCGCUGCUUCUGUCCAAGACGUGGAGAUAAAGAUAGCUCGAGUGCUCUGUGCAUUGCAAGGCCUGCUCCUCUCUCUGCUAAUGAGUUUGUGUUCACAGAUGAGACUUUCCUGGCUAAAGAAGGAACAGAUACAAUUUGCAACAACUUUUCUGGGUUUCUUUCCCCAGCCCUCACAUCGCUAUGACUCCCGCAUGCUGGAUCCCAAAGUGGCGGGCUUGAGUUUGCAGUUAAAGAUUGGACGGUUCCUAAUUUUUUCCAAGCUUUUCAAACGUCCUCUCUGACGUUCCUUUUACUUGCCCUGUUCGGUUUCUGCCGCCGGACGCCUCUGGCAUCUUUGCGUCUUAGACGCAGAUUGGAAGUAGAAACCAACAUUGUCCAACGAGCGCCUUUCUCAGGAGGCCCCCUGGGUCCUGAGACCCUUUCCCCGAAGGGCAGAGCCCCGAGGGGAGAGGCUGGCUCCGGACCCGGGAUGGGGCACACACGCCCAGCCCUUCUGGCCUCCCUGACAGCCACACUGCGGCCAGGUGUUAUAUAGCCGAGAUUCGCGGGGCCGAGGGACGGAGAGACAGAGUCACCGAGGCUGUAAUUAUCAAUAGGCGUUUUAUUGUCUAGCUCCAGCUAGGG